Molecule: ribosomal RNA, 253 nt
Filed under: uncultured bacterium
Lineage: Bacteria
Description: partial 16S ribosomal RNA
Rfam family: Bacterial small subunit ribosomal RNA
Source: RNAcentral
UACAGAGGGGGCAAGCGUUGUUCGGAAUUACUGGGCGUAAAGGGCGCGUAGGCGGCCGCCUAAGUCAGACGUGAAAUCCCUCGGCUCAACCGGGGAACUGCGUCUGAUACUGGGUGGCUUGAAUUCGGGAGAGGGAUGCGGAAUUCCAGGUGUAGCGGUGAAAUGCGUAGAUAUCUGGAGGAACACCGGUGGCGAAGGCGGCAUCCUGGACCGGCAUUGACGCUGAGGCGCGAAAGCUAGGGAAGCAAACGGG